UCACAAAAAGCAAAAAAAGUGUCU
Molecule: non-coding RNA, 24 nt
Filed under: Arabidopsis thaliana (thale cress)
Lineage: Eukaryota; Viridiplantae; Streptophyta; Magnoliopsida; Brassicales; Brassicaceae
Source: RNAcentral